GGCACCUUCGGUGUCCGAGUUGUAAUUUGUAGAAGCAUCUUUUGGAUUGGUCCUUGCAUAUGUUCCUUGGAACAGGACAUCAUAGAGGGUGAGAAUCCCGUUCAUGGUGGGGAAUCCAAUUCUUUGUAAAGUGCUUUCGAAGAGUCGAGUUGUUUGGGAAUGCAGCUCUAAGUGGGUGGUAAAUUCCAUCUAAAGCUAAAUAUUGGCGAGAGACCGAUAGCGAACAAGUACAGUGAUGGAAAGAUGAAAAGAACUCCGAAAGGAGAGUGAAAAAGGACGUGAAAUUGUUGAAAGGGAAGUGCUUGAGAUCAGUCUUAAGGUUUAGUGAUCAGUCUUCCUUUUGGUUGGUGCACUCACUAUUUCUUAGGCCAACAUCAGUUUUGGCGGCAGGAUAAUGACAUUGGAAUGUGGCUCUUUCGGGAGUGUUAUAGCCUUUGUUGAUACUGCCUGCUUAGACUGAGGACUGCGCUUUUGCUAGGAUGUUGGCAUAAUGAUCUUA
Molecule: ribosomal RNA, 499 nt
Filed under: Lipomyces starkeyi
Lineage: Eukaryota; Fungi; Ascomycota; Lipomycetes; Lipomycetales; Lipomycetaceae
Description: partial 26S ribosomal RNA
Rfam family: Eukaryotic large subunit ribosomal RNA
Source: RNAcentral